RNAcentral lists this ribosomal RNA (426 nucleotides) under uncultured bacterium. RNAcentral's name for it is "bacterial SSU rRNA". It matches the Rfam family "Bacterial small subunit ribosomal RNA", at positions 356 to 773 of the family's 1533-position model. The record is from RNAcentral.
GGGGAAUAUUGGACAAUGGGCGCAAGCCUGAUCCAGCCAUGCCGCGUGUGUGAAGAAGGCCUUAUGGUUGUAAAGCACUUUAAGCGAGGAGGAGGCUACUGAAGUUAAUACCUUCAGAUAGUGGACGUUACUCGCAGAAUAAGCACCGGCUAACUCUGUGCCAGCAGCCGCGGUAAUACAGAGGGUGCAAGCGUUAAUCGGAUUUACUGGGCGUAAAGCGCGCGUAGGCGGCUAAUUAAGUCAAAUGUGAAAUCCCCGAGCUUAACUUGGGAAUUGCAUUCGAUACUGGUUAGCUAGAGUGUGGGAGAGGAUGGUAGAAUUCCAGGUGUAGCGGUGAAAUGCGUAGAGAUCUGGAGGAAUACCGAUGGCGAAGGCAGCCAUCUGGCCUAACACUGACGCUGAGGUGCGAAAGCAUGGGGAGCAAAC